ACUCAGGGCUGGAAAGGUCUCCCGUCCCAGCAGAGUCCAGACUGACAGCAAGGCAGAAGGCAGAACUUAUGGACAGGUGGAGAGCUGAUGUCUAAGGAUCUUUCCAGAGAUGAUGGCAAUGAUACAUCUAACUGCUUACGAGGCCAUGGAACUCUGAGGAGCUGGCUUAUGAGAAAGAAAACAAAGGGGGCCGGAGAAGACAGGAGGGCAGACAGACAGUUUGCUUUUGCAAGACGAAUUAAUUCAU
This is a long non-coding RNA of Fukomys damarensis (Damara mole-rat), 247 nucleotides long. RefSeq lists it as uncharacterized. The transcript has 3 exons. NCBI's taxonomy places the organism in Eukaryota, Metazoa, Chordata, Mammalia, Rodentia, Bathyergidae. The record is from RefSeq and is a predicted model, not a curated record.